RNAcentral lists this small nuclear RNA (102 nucleotides) under Sorex araneus (European shrew). Lineage: Eukaryota; Metazoa; Chordata; Mammalia; Eulipotyphla; Soricidae. The record is from RNAcentral.
AUAUUCGGCAGCACAUAUGCUAAAAUUGGAAUGAUACAGAGAAUAUUAGCAUGGCCCCUGCGCAAGAGUGACAUGCAAAUUCACGAAGCAUUCCAUAUUUUU